UUAAUACCAGAACUAAAAGGGAUCGAGCAUUUUGUUGUCCAACGAAGCAACUUCCUAAAACAUAAAGAGGAAGACUCGUCGUCAGAUAUAUCUUUUCUCGAGGGUAGUCAAGGCAACGGGAAGGCAAGGCUCGUCGUCGAUAGACAGGCUCGAUAAAUUGGCCUUUAAACGUCGUUCGCUAUCUUCGAAGAACAAUCUCGUUUGCGAGGCACGAGCGUACGGUGGUCAACGAGAUCGUACUAUACUUCGAGAAGAAGCCAAGAGAACAUGCGUCGAUUCUGGGAACUUUGGAGGGGGAGAAAGCUUUAUUGCACUUUUUUUUUUAAGUACAAAUCGGAACAUAUGAUAGAGGGAAACAAAUCAUACGGCAUAAUACGUCCUAACUUUUUUUUUUAUCUUAUUUUCUUUCUGUAGAUACACCCGUGCACCAACGAAUUGCAAUUGCAUUUUAUAUAUCUGAUUUUCUUUUAUUAUUAUUUUAUC
Molecule: long non-coding RNA, 483 nt
Organism: Polistes canadensis
Lineage: Eukaryota; Metazoa; Arthropoda; Insecta; Hymenoptera; Vespidae
Exons: 3
Source: RefSeq, a predicted model, not a curated record